This is a long non-coding RNA of Protopterus annectens (West African lungfish), 471 nucleotides long. RefSeq lists it as uncharacterized. The record is from RefSeq and is a predicted model, not a curated record. Lineage: Eukaryota; Metazoa; Chordata; Ceratodontiformes; Protopteridae. The transcript has 4 exons.
GAUGAGCGACCGCGGGAGGCGUGUCGUUUAUACAGGAGGUCUUGCAAGUAAACAAUUUGAUUGAGUGGAAAUCUGCCAGGACUGUUUUCGAAUUGAAUUUUAAAAGGCUGGUCACAGACAAGACUGGACAAAGGCUGUAGUGUGUUGUUUGAUCGCUUUGGUUUACAUAGAACCUCCCAUAAAAAGUGCACUUAAAAUGAUGGAAAAGAAAAAACUAAAAAGUUCAGUGCUGUCAAGAGUCGGAGAGACGUCUUCAAAGUUGCAGCAAGUUCAAAAGCCAUUGCCAGGUCCAUCUUCCACAGUAUUGCAUCCUGGAAAUGCACGUUUGGUUAGAAGGCGUCCAUGUCAGUACAGGGUGACAUAUACUUGGAAUCGAGGAGGGAGACUGAAGGAGUUGCGGAUCCGUCAUCUUGCCAGGAAAUUUUUACACCUGUGGAUGUUCAACACCUUUGGAAGAGUCCUCCCCUCCAG